RNAcentral lists this ribosomal RNA (541 nucleotides) under uncultured bacterium. Its description in RNAcentral is "bacterial SSU rRNA". It matches the Rfam family "Bacterial small subunit ribosomal RNA", at positions 355 to 896 of the family's 1533-position model. The record is from RNAcentral.
UGAGGAAUAUUGGUCAAUGGGCGGAAGCCUGAACCAGCCAUCCCGCGUGAAGGAAGAAUGCGCUAUGCGUUGUAAACUUCUUUUCCAGGGGAAGAAAACCUCUGAUGUAUCGGAGCUUGCCGGUACCCUGGGAAUAAGCAUCGGCUAACUCCGUGCCAGCAGCCGCGGUAAUACGGAGGAUGCGAGCGUUAUCCGGAUUUAUUGGGUUUAAAGGGUGCGUAGGCGGAUAAAUAAGUCAGUGGUGAAACCCUGCAGCUUAACUGUAGACUUGCCGUUGAUACUGUUUAUCUUGAGUUUGGUCAAGGCAGGCGGAAUGUGUAAUGUAGCGGUGAAAUGCUUAGAUAUUACACAGAACACCGAUAGCGAAGGCAGCUUGCUGGGCCGUUACUGACGCUGAUGCACGAAAGCGUGGGGAUCGAACAGGAUUAGGUACCCUGGUAGUCCACGCCGUAAACGAUGAUCACUAGCUGUUGGCGAUACACAGUCAGCGGCAAAGCAAAAGCAUUAAGUGAUCCACCUGGGGAGUACGGCCGCAAGGCUG